UUCUGUAGGUGAAACCUGCGGAGGGAUCAUUACCGAGUUUACAACUCCCACACCCAUUGUGAACGUUACCAAACUGUUGCCUCGGCGGGAUCUCUGCCCCGGGUGCGUCGCAGCCCCGGACCAAGGCGCCCGCCGGAGGACCAACCAAAACUCUUAUUGUAUACCCCCUCGCGGGUUUUUUUAUAAUCUGAGCCUUCUCGGCGCCUCUCGUAGGCGUUUCGAAAAUGAAUCAAAACUUUCAACAACGGAUCUCUUGGUUCUGGCAUCGAUGAAGAACGCAGCGAAAUGCGAUAAGUAAUGUGAAUUGCAGAAUUCAGUGAAUCAUCGAAUCUUUGAACGCACAUUGCGCCCGCCAGUAUUCUGGCGGGCAUGCCUGUCCGAGCGUCAUUUCAACCCUCGAACCCCUCCGGGGGGUCGGCGUUGGGGAUCGGCCCUGCCUUGGCGGUGGCCGUCUCCGAAAUACAGUGGCGGUCUCGCCGCAGCCUCUCCUGCGCAGUAGUUUGCACACUCGCAUCGGGAGCGCGGCGCGUCCACAGCCGUUAAACACCCAACUUCUGAAAUGUUGACCUCGGAUCAGGUAGGAAUACCCGCUGAAC
RNAcentral lists this ribosomal RNA (596 nucleotides) under Trichoderma harzianum. RNAcentral's name for it is "eukaryotic LSU rRNA". The stretch from base 234 to 387 matches the Rfam family "5.8S ribosomal RNA". The record is from RNAcentral. Lineage: Eukaryota; Fungi; Ascomycota; Sordariomycetes; Hypocreales; Hypocreaceae.